AGCAGCCGCGGUAAUUCCAGCUCCAAUAGCGUAUAUUAAAGUUGUUGCAGUUAAAAAGCUCGUAGUUGAAUUUCGGGGUUAGUAAGUUGGUCGUGCCUAUGGUAUGCACUGGCUUUACUGAUUCCUCCUUCUUGAAGAACUGUAAUGUCAUUAAUUUGGUGUUGCAGGGAAACAGGACUGUUACUUUGAAAAAAUUAGAGUGUUUAAAGCAGGCUAACGCUUGAAUACAUUAGCAUGGAAUAAUGAAAUAGGACGUUUGAUCCUAUUUUGUUGGUUUCUAGGAUUGACGUAAUGAUUAAUAGGGAUAGUUGGGGGCAUUAGUAUUCAAUUGUCAGAGGUGAAAUUCUUGGAUUUAUUGAAGACUAACUACUGCGAAAGCAUUUGCCAAGGAUGUUUUCAUUAAUCAAGAACGAAGUUAGGGGAUCGAAGACGAUCAGAUACCGUCGUAGUCUUAACCAUAAACUAUGCCGACUAGGGAUCGGAUGAUGUUAAUUUUUAAUGACUCAUUCGG
Molecule: ribosomal RNA, 511 nt
Filed under: uncultured Glomus
Lineage: Eukaryota; Fungi; Glomeromycota; Glomeromycetes; Glomerales; Glomeraceae
Description: SSU rRNA
Rfam family: Eukaryotic small subunit ribosomal RNA
Source: RNAcentral